UACAGGGGGGGCAAGCGUUGUUCGGAAUUACUGGGCGUAAAGGGUUCGUAGGUGGCCACUUAAGUCAGACGUGAAAUCCCCAGGCUCAACUUGGGAACUGCAUCCGAUACUGGAUGGCUUGAAUUCGGGAGAGGGAUGCAGAAUUCCAGGUGUAGCGGUGAAAUGCGUAGAUAUCUGGAGGAAUACCGGUGGCGAAGGCGGCAUCCUGGACCGACAUUGACGCUGAGGAGCGAAAGCCAGGGGAGCAAACGGG
This 253-nucleotide ribosomal RNA is filed under the name uncultured bacterium. Its description in RNAcentral is "partial 16S ribosomal RNA". It matches the Rfam family "Bacterial small subunit ribosomal RNA", at positions 524 to 776 of the family's 1533-position model. The record is from RNAcentral.